GUGGGGAAUCUUGCGCAAUGGCCGAAAGGCUGACGCAGCGACGCCGCGUGGAGGAUGACGCCCUUCGGGGUGUAAACUCCUGUUGCCCGGGACGAAUGCCCCGUUUGCGGGGAGUGACGGUACCGGGUGAGGAAGCACCGGCUAACUCUGUGCCAGCAGCCGCGGUAAUACAGAGGGUGCGAGCGUUGUCCGGAAUCACUGGGCGUAAAGGGCGCGUAGGCGGCUCGGUAAGCGUGUGGUGAAAGCCCGGGGCUCAACCCCGGGUCGGCCAUGCGAACUGUCGAGCUGGAGCACGGUAGAGGCACAUGGAAUUCCGGGUGUAGCGGUGGAAUGCGUAGAGAUCCGGAAGAACACCGGUGGCGAAGGCGGUGUGCUGGGCCGUAGCUGACGCUGAGGCGCGACAGCGUGGGGAGCAAACAGGAUUAGAAACCCUAGUAGUCC
RNAcentral lists this ribosomal RNA (441 nucleotides) under uncultured bacterium. Its description in RNAcentral is "bacterial SSU rRNA". It matches the Rfam family "Bacterial small subunit ribosomal RNA", at positions 354 to 796 of the family's 1533-position model. The record is from RNAcentral.